Long non-coding RNA from Sus scrofa (pig), 2052 nucleotides. RefSeq lists it as uncharacterized. NCBI's taxonomy places the organism in Eukaryota, Metazoa, Chordata, Mammalia, Artiodactyla, Suidae. The record is from RefSeq and is a predicted model, not a curated record.
CAGAAGGGAGAGGAGAGGAAGAAAAAAAUGAGAGACCUUGGACAGAGCCCUGGGGAGCCUGGGGACUGAAUGGCUGGGCAAGCUAGAAGCUGAUCCCUUCUUUGUGUGGGAGAACCCUCCACGUUUCUAUUCAACACAAAUGGACAGAGGCUGUGUUUUGGCAACAAAUUUCGGGGGCUUGUCCGGGAUCGACUCGUGGGCAGCCAGCCUCAAAGGGCACCUCAGCUUGAUGGAUGCUUUGCAGUUUCUCUCUACGAUGGCCUGCCUUCUUCAGGAGAGCGGAGGGUUGCAGGACACCUCUAGGGGCCAGAUGGCCUGGGAUCCCUGCUGUGGGAAUGUGCCCUGAAAAUACCUGUCCUGCCAUCUCGGCAGUUGGACCUCUGAGGCUGGAGUGGAAGACAAGCGAAAGACCGGCCUAGCAGCUGCCAAGGUCAUCUUCACCUUGUAAGGACCUCUCUCUUUUCUGCUUGCACGGGCCCAAACCUCUACUCUGAGAAAUCAUUUUGGGGAAGAAGAAACAUAGCAUCUGGGAUAUUGAGACACCAAUGCCAGCAUCUGACUGCCCAGAUGGACUAAGAAAGACACAUACAGACAGAAGCCCAUGUGAGGACACAGUGAGAAGGCAGCCAUCUACCAACCAAGGAGAGAGGCCUCAGCAGAAACCAGCCCUGCCCACACCUUGAACUUGGACGUCCAGCCUCCAGAACUGUGUUGUGAGCCUUAAGUUAUGGAUGCAGCGAUGACGCAUUACGAACCACCCCUACCAUCAUCGUGAGGAUAGGGGACUCGAGGCAGAUCAGCCACCAGCACCAGAAAACAGGCUUUCAAACCAACAAGAGAAGACAGGAUCGUAAUACCCUCCUAACAACAUUGCCUUAUUGAUGCAGUGCAAGGAAAACUACAUUAGAUUCUAUUGAUUCUCUUUGAGAUCUAAUAAUAGGCUUUCUUCAGAUCUUGUUCACAUACCUCAUACCUCUUCCUCCACGAGUCUAUCUCAGGAGCUGAAAUCGGCCAGUUACAAACAGCAUUGGUUCUGCAGUCAUAUGCAGUCACAGAAGCGAAGGUCGUGUUUUCGAACACAAAAGCUACGACGCUUUCUUUGGGAAACAGGGCACGGCUGGGGAAAAAAAAAAUAUCUCGCUUCUCAAGAAAAUGGAAAGCGUGGCUAACUUCAGAUUUAUUUGAUUACAAAGUCUUUCUCGGGGCUAAUCAGUUUUAGAACCCGUUCUUAUUGGCACCAGCGAGCCAAUAAAAGAGCCAGAAGGAGAGAAGAAAUAUCACAUCAACUCAGAAAAACAAGGUUGUUCAUUUUUUAAAAGAGCAUUGAAUUAACGUUUACACCCCUGCAUCAGCUUAUUUAUACAGACGCUAUAGGAGAUUCUUUGCAUCUGCAGAAUUUGUUAGCAUUCCGAGUUUGAUAGAUUGUACCUGACUUACUUGUGAAAAAUCAUCUCAAGAAAGAUCUGCCCCCCACCCUGGGAAAAUAUGUAAAUGAAUAGCCAGAAACGCUCAGCGGAAGGGAGAGGCCGGAUUUUAGAUGUCACGAUGGAUGGUUAAGAAUUUGGGCUUUGGGGCAGUGGCGUGAUGCUCAAGUCACCUCUGAACUUCACUAUCCUCAUCCCUAGGAUGGGUUCCAAACCAGGGUUUUCUGUAAAUAUUCAGUGGGCUAAUGCAUGCACGGAGGUUCUACAUUAACCCUCCCAGAGGCCAAAUGAGAAGCCAAGAAAUGCCAGCUUAUUUAUUAUUGUUGUUGUUAUUAUUAUUAUAGAGAAUCUUUGAAUGCUUUAUCCUUCAUCUGAGGAAAAAAUCACAAAAAAGGAUUCAAUAUGUAGAGAGAAAAAAAGUCUUGGAGUUCUCUGAUGGCCUAGCAGUUAAAGGAUUUGGUAUUGUCACUUCUGUGGCAUGGGUUCCAUCCCUUAGCACGCGUGUUCUUCAUCCUUUCUAAAAGAGAUGUUACCACAGUUCCUGUUGUUAGCGCACCUGAUAAGUGUCCAUGAGGAUGCAGGUUCGAUUCCUGGCCUCGCUCAGUGGGUUAAGGAUCCGGUGUUGCCA